This 73-nucleotide transfer RNA is filed under the name Brooklawnia cerclae. RNAcentral's name for it is "tRNA-Gly". It matches the Rfam family "tRNA". Rfam says of the family: Transfer RNA (tRNA) molecules are approximately 80 nucleotides in length. Their secondary structure includes four short double-helical elements and three loops (D, anti-codon, and T loops). Further hydrogen bonds mediate the characteristic L-shaped molecular structure. tRNAs have two regions of fundamental functional importance: the anti-codon, which is responsible for specific mRNA codon recognition, and the 3' end, to which the tRNAs corresponding amino acid is attached (by aminoacyl-tRNA synthetases). tRNAs cope with the degeneracy of the genetic code in two manners: having more than one tRNA (with a specific anti-codon) for a particular amino acid; and 'wobble' base-pairing, i.e. permitting non-standard base-pairing at the 3rd anti-codon position. Lineage: Bacteria; Bacillati; Actinomycetota; Actinomycetes; Propionibacteriales; Propionibacteriaceae. RNAcentral also lists the same sequence under 1 other name. The record is from RNAcentral.
GCGGACGUGGCUCAGUUGGUAGAGCAUCACCUUGCCAAGGUGAGGGUCGCGGGUUCAAGUCCCGUCGUCCGCU